RNAcentral lists this ribosomal RNA (511 nucleotides) under uncultured bacterium. RNAcentral's name for it is "bacterial SSU rRNA". It matches the Rfam family "Bacterial small subunit ribosomal RNA", at positions 28 to 516 of the family's 1533-position model. The record is from RNAcentral.
GAUGAACGCUAGCUACAGGCUUAACACAUGCAAGUCGAGGGGAAACGAUAGAGAAAGCUUGCUUUUUCUAGGCGUCGACCGGCGCACGGGUGAGUAACGCGUAUCCAACCUGCCCCACCACUUGGGGAUAACCUUGCGAAAGUAAGACUAAUACCCCAAUGACGUCUCUAGAAGACAUCUGAAAGAGAUUAAAGAUUUAUCGGUGAUGGAUGGGGAUGCGUCUGAUUAGCUUGUUGGCGGGGUAACGGCCCACCAAGGCGACGAUCAGUAGGGGUUCUGAGAGGAAGGUCCCCCCACAUUGGAACUGAGACACGGUCCAAACUCCUACGGGAGGCAGCCAGUUGAGGGAAUACUUGGGUCAAAUGGACGAGAGUCUGAACCAGCCAAGUAGCGUGCAGGAAGACGGCCCGUAUGGGUUGUAAACUGCUUUUAUAAGGGAAUAAAGUGAGUCUCGUGAGACUUUUUGCAUGUACCUUAUGAAUAAGGACCGGCUAAUUCCGUGCCAGCAGCC